This 358-nucleotide ribosomal RNA is filed under the name uncultured bacterium. Its description in RNAcentral is "bacterial SSU rRNA". It matches the Rfam family "Bacterial small subunit ribosomal RNA", at positions 9 to 353 of the family's 1533-position model. The record is from RNAcentral.
GAGUUUUGAUCAUGGCUCAGGAUGAACGCUAGCUACAGGCUUAACACAUGCAAGUCGAGGGGAAACGACAUCGAAAGCUUGCUUUUGAUGGGCGUCGACCGGCGUACGGGUGAGUAACGCGUAUCCAACCUGCCCACCACUUGGGGAUAACCUUGCGAAAGUAAGACUAAUACCCAAUGAUAUCUCUAGAAGACAUCUGAAAGAGAUUAAAGAUUUAUCGGUGAUGGGAUGGGGAUGCGUCUGAUUAGCUUGUUGGCGGGGUAACGGCCCACCAAGGCAACGAUCGAGUAGGGGUUCUGAGACGGAAGGUCCCCCACAUUGGAACUGAGACACGGUCCAACUCCUACGGGAGGCAGCA